UCCAUGCCUUCCAAAAAUCAAAAGAGUGUGAAACACCCUUCAUAUAUUCAAGUUGUUGUAGUUAAAAAGCUCGUAGUUAGAUUUUGCGAUGGGCUGGACGAUCCGCCCUAGGUGUGUACCGGUCGUCUCAUUCUUUCUGUCGGUGAUGCACUCCUGGCCUUAAUUUGCCAGGUCGUGCCUCCGGCACUGUUACUUUGAAGAAAUUAGAGUGCCAAAGCAAGCCUACGCUUUGUAUACAUUUGCAUGGGAUACCAUUAUAGGAUUUCAGUCCUAUUACGUUGGCUUUCAGGAUUGGAGUAAUGAUUAACAAGGACAGUCGGGGGCAUUCGUAUUUCAUAGUUAAAGGUGAAAUUCUUGGAUUUAUGAAAGACGAACAACUGCAAAAGCAUUUGUCAUGGAUGUUUUCAUUAAUCAGGAAUGAAAGUUGGGGGCUCGAAGACGAGCAGAUACCGUCCUAGUCUCAACCAUAAAUGAUGUCGACCAGGGAUCGUCGGAUGUUUCUUUUAGGACUCCGCCGACACCUUAUGAGAAAUCAAAUUUUUGGGUUCCGGGGGGAGUAUGGUUGCAAGGCUCAAACUUAAAGGAAUUGACGGAAGGGCACCACCAGGAGUGGAGCCUGCGCCUUAAUUUGACUCAACACGGGGAAACUUAUCAGGUGCAGACAUAGUAAAGAUUGACAGACUGAGCUGUUUCUUGAUUCUAUGGGUGGUGAGCAUGGCUAUUAUUAGUUGGUGGAGCGAUUUGUCUAGUUAAUUCUGUUAAUGAACGAUACCUCAGCCUGCUAACUAGCUAUGCGGAGGUAUCCCUUCGCAACCAGCUUUUUAGAGGGACUACGGCCUUUUAGGCAACGGAAGUUUGAGGUAAUAAAAGGUCUGUGAAGGCCUUAGAUGUAUUCAACGUGCGCUACACUGAUGUAUUCAAUGAGCUUAAAGCCUUGGUCGACAGGCCUGGGUAAUUUUAGAAAUUUCAUCGUGAUGGGGAUAGAUCAUUGCAAUUAUUGGUCUUCAAAGAGGAAUUCGUAGUAAGCGCGAGUCAUCAGCUCGCGUUGACUACGUCCCCACCCUUUGUGCAUAAUACCCAUCGCUCCUACCAAUUGAAUGAUCCAAUGAGAUGUUCAGAUCUCGGCGACGUGGGUGGUUCGCUGCUCGCAACUUCGCGAGAAGUCCAUUGAACCUUAUCAUUUAGAGGAAGGAAAAGUCGUAACAAGGUUUCCGUAGGUGAACCUGCGGAUGGAUCAUUG
Molecule: ribosomal RNA, 1240 nt
Filed under: Solanum tuberosum (potato)
Lineage: Eukaryota; Viridiplantae; Streptophyta; Magnoliopsida; Solanales; Solanaceae
Description: Eukaryotic small subunit ribosomal RNA
Rfam family: Eukaryotic small subunit ribosomal RNA
Source: Rfam by way of RNAcentral